CUACAGAGGGUGCGAGCGUUAAUCGGAAUUACUGGGCGUAAAGCGCGCGUAGGCGGCUACUUAAGUCAGAUGUGAAAUCCCCGGGCUCAACCUGGGAACUGCAUCUGAUACUGGGUAGCUAGAGUUUUGGAGAGGGAAGUAGAAUUUCAGGUGUAGCGGUGAAAUGCAUAGAGAUCUGAAGGAAUACCAGUGGCGAAGGCGACUUCCUGGCCAAAAACUGACGCUGAGGUGCGAAAGCGUGGGUAGCAAACGGGAUUAGAAACCCUAGUAGUCC
This 274-nucleotide ribosomal RNA is filed under the name uncultured bacterium. RNAcentral describes it as "partial 16S ribosomal RNA". It matches the Rfam family "Bacterial small subunit ribosomal RNA", at positions 523 to 796 of the family's 1533-position model. The record is from RNAcentral.